Molecule: long non-coding RNA, 1369 nt
Organism: Erinaceus europaeus (western European hedgehog)
Lineage: Eukaryota; Metazoa; Chordata; Mammalia; Eulipotyphla; Erinaceidae
Exons: 2
Source: RefSeq, a predicted model, not a curated record
GAUGCAAACCUGUUGUGUAUUUGAGAGGCCCCAGGCAAGCACACAGAUGGAGACCACAUACCAUCUGUCCCAACCAAGUUAACAAACUACUCAAAGAACGACGUAGCUUUCUGCCCUGACGUAGACGCGCCCACAGGACCUGAGCAGACGAAUUUGGACUCCUCAGAUCGCAUGAGAACGUGGUGGCCUGGGGAGAGAGCACAGCCAUCACCGAGCACCGAGCACCGGGCUCACUGCCAGCUCUGUGGGGGCUCUGACGGGACUGGCAGCUCCCCAGCCUCCACUUGAGUCUAGGAACCUUUGCACUGACGCUGUUGGCAGGCAAAAUAGUUCAUCUGGGUAGUGCACCUGCUUCGACACACACAGGACUCGAGUUUAAGCCUGGUCCUCGUAGCACUGGGAGCAAUUUCAGGUCAAAUCUCAGCUUUAGAAUCACCCCCAAAGCUGCAGACAGAGGGAGCAGACCAAGAGGCUGCCCUGACCAGGAAGAAGCAUAGGAGCCGCCUUCACAGCACGUCAUCGUCAUCGUUGACAUUCGCUCCUCUAACCUCACUUGCUCCUCAGAGGUGCUGUGCUGUGUAGACUGAUUGAUUCCGGUUUAAAGCGGCUCUUAUGCGAGGCUACAGGCUAGCUGCCUGCAACAGGUGGAGCCCAAACUGGUGCAAUUUCCACCCCAAAUGAUACACGCAGCAGAUAAGACAACAGCCUUUUCUUUUCCUUUGUUUUCUCUUCUUUUCCUCUUCCUUCCUUCCUUCCUUCCUUCCUUCCUUCCUUCCUUCCUUCCUUCCUUUCUUUCUUUCUUUCUUUCUUUCUUUCUUUCUUUCUUUCUUUCUUUCUUACCAGAACACUAAUCAACUCUGGCUUACAGUGGUGGUGGGGGGGGCAUGGCAUGGGGUGGGGGAGGGAGGACUGAACUUAAGAUUUCAGAGCUCUGGGCACCACGAGAAAGUCUCUUUGUAGAACCAUUAUGCUACCUACCCCCACCCAGACCAUAAGCCCUUCUGCGGAAGCAUCACUGUGAUUCCCCUCUAACUUUCCCAAUGGCGCUGGUAUAAGGGAGCCAGCCGUGUGAUUUUUGAGCAGAAGGGCAAGGGAAGGACAGUGGCCGCGGCAGCUGGAAUGGAGGAGGAAGUGAAGUGGUGAGGCACUACCCUAAACCCUGCAGAGAGCUCCCUGAUGGAGAUCCCAGCAGCUGGGCGGCUGUGAUGAAGUGAAGGGGCAGGACGCUGUCCAAGGAUGUCCAGGAGGUGUGGGAAGCCAGCGACAGUGGGAAAGGACAUGGACUGCCAGUUUCAUAGCAGUUUGAACUGUGACUUGACCACUCCGUGCCUCCGUUUGCCUACGUGAAAUAAAUCUGACACCAAUCGUA